This 520-nucleotide ribosomal RNA is filed under the name uncultured Glomus. Its description in RNAcentral is "SSU rRNA". It matches the Rfam family "Eukaryotic small subunit ribosomal RNA", at positions 569 to 1091 of the family's 1831-position model. The record is from RNAcentral. Lineage: Eukaryota; Fungi; Glomeromycota; Glomeromycetes; Glomerales; Glomeraceae.
AGCAGCCGCGGUAAUUCCAGCUCCAAUAGCGUAUAUUAAAGUUGUUGCAGUUAAAAAGCUCGUAGUUGAAUUUCGGGAUCAAUACGUCGGUCGCGCUUCGGUACGUACUGGCGUCAUUGAUUUCUCCCUUCUGACGAACCAUGAUGUCAUUAACUUGGUGUCAUGGGAAAUCAGGACUGUUACUUUGAAAAAAUUAGAGUGUUUAAAGCAGGCUCACGCUUGAAUACAUUAGCAUGGAAUAAUGAAAUAGGACGUUCGAUCCUAUUUUGUUGGUUUUUAGGAUCAACGUAAUGAUUAAUAGGGAUAGUUGGGGGCAUUAGUAUUCAAUUGUCAGAGGUGAAAUUCUUGGAUUUAUUGAAGACUAACUACUGCGAAAGCAUUUGCCAAGGAUGUUUUCAUUAAUCAAGAACGAAAGUUAGGGGAUCGAAGACGAUCAGAUACCGUCGUAGUCUUAACCAUAAACUAUGCCGACUAGGGAUCGGAUGAUGUUAAUUUUUUAAUGACUCAUUCGGCGCCUUAC